Molecule: ribosomal RNA, 484 nt
Filed under: uncultured bacterium
Lineage: Bacteria
Description: partial 16S ribosomal RNA
Rfam family: Bacterial small subunit ribosomal RNA
Source: RNAcentral
AUUGAACGCUGGCGGCAGGCCUAACACAUGCAAGUCGAGCGGAUGAAGGGAGCUUGCUCCUGGAUUCAGCGGCGGGCGGGUGAGUAAUGCCUAGGAAUCUGCCUGGUAGUGGGGGAUAACGUCCGGAAACGGGCGCUAAUACCGCAUACGUCCUGAGGGAGAAAGUGGGGGAUCUUCGGACCUCACGCUAUCAGAUGAGCCUAGGUCGGAUUAGCUAGUUGGUGGGGUAAAGGCCUACCAAGGCGACGAUCCGUAACUGGUCUGAGAGGAUGAUCAGUCACACUGGAACUGAGACACGGUCCAGACUCCUACGGGAGGCAGCAGUGGGGAAUAUUGGACAAUGGGCGAAAGCCUGAUCCAGCCAUGCCGCGUGUGUGAAGAAGGUCUUCGGAUUGUAGAGCACUUUAAGUUGGGAGGAAGGGCAGUAAGUUAAUACCUUGCUGUUUUGACGUUACCAACAGAAUAAGCACCGGCUAACUUCGUG